UGACAGAGGCUGGCUGUGCACGUGU
Molecule: non-coding RNA, 25 nt
Filed under: Mus musculus (house mouse)
Lineage: Eukaryota; Metazoa; Chordata; Mammalia; Rodentia; Muridae
Source: RNAcentral